This 2174-nucleotide unclassified non-coding RNA is filed under the name Leishmania donovani. RNAcentral's name for it is "gene:LdHU3.32.5170(CDS-product:hypothetical_prote in_conserved)". Lineage: Eukaryota; Euglenozoa; Kinetoplastea; Trypanosomatida; Trypanosomatidae. The record is from RNAcentral.
UGCUUCGCGUGUACGCCACACACGCGCCCUGUCCGCGAAACAGUCGCACAAGAUUCGCUCGUAGCAGAAGGGUCACGACGCCGCCGCUCUCUUGGGCGUCUCUCUGUUUGACUGUCAUGGAGUUCCUCGGCCGGGAGGCGGCGGGGGUGGUCUCCAUUGCGUGUAGUUCGGCUUCCACCACAUCAUUUGCCACCCUCUCAAGCCACGGGACCCUGUCUCUCUGGGACGUGCGCAUUCCACGCAGGAACUACAUGAAAUUUCGCAAUCCAAACAGCGCCGCCACCGCAGCGGCUUCUGAGCUGCGCUACCUGCACGACCGGCACGCUGCUGUCGCACUGUGCGGCAAGACUGUCCAACUGUUUGACACGCGCAAGUGCAUUUCGUGCGUGUCUGAGUUUACUAGCGACAAGGAGUGCGUCGCCUUCUUGAGAGACGAGCCACCGCCGGACUCUACUACGACGCUGAUUGUGGACGAGGAUGGCGGCAUGUUUGCAUACGACAUUGCAGACGGCACCCGGCCUCCCUACAUCGAGGCGUACGUCUUUGGUCAGCAGGAGCGCUGCCCCUUGCCAAAAGGCAGCCGAUUCGGAUGUCUAACAAACUAUUGUAGCGGGUUGCACUGUGUCGAUCUUGCCCCUGGCGAAGACGGCACCGCUACACGGCUGCUCUUUGCUGUUGGAAUGGACGGCGAAGGUGCCCUCUACAGCGGGGCCGACGACACGGGUUCCGUGCGCGUUGCGUUCUCCAUUGCGCAUGAGUCGUCGAGCUGCGGCAACGCGCCAAUGGUGAACCCGCCGCUCGUCAACUGCACCGCCAUCUGUGGUGCGCAAGUGGCCGUGGGGCGGGCCGACGGCAUGUACUCUGUCUACGAGAUUGAGCGGAGCGGGCUGGACGAGGCCAUGGUGUCUCCCGGCCACGCCGUCAACGGGCUGUGCUACGUGGACUGGGUGUCGCCGGAGCUGCUGCUGACAGUGUCGCUUUGCGGGGAGGUCACGGGAUGGGCCGUCGGUGCAUUCAUGGCGGGCAGCAGCGCGGAGGCGGAAGAGGAGGCGGAGGGGCCGGAGGUGGUGGCAGCUCUUGCGCAUCGAGAGGUGCCCGGCUGCCAGCUAGCGACGGUGAACUGCGCUGACCGGCUUGCUGGAACGCGCUACAUCUUCGGUGAUCAUCUAGGCGGCGUGACGCUGGCUCAGCUGGAUCUCUGAGCGGAUGCGGCAACCUCUGCAGCCUAUCUCUGUGUCUGUUGCGGGAACUAGUUGGGGGAAGGGGAGGGGAGGGGCUGCGUGUCUGGCGCACCUAGGCAGGUCGGGGCAUGGUGUCUGCAGAGAUACCGCCAGGGUGCGCCGGGGAGACAAGCUGCGCGUCAUUGACACGUUUUUGUAGUCGUGUCGCCGCGCAGUGUGCUUCUCCUUCGCUUCCUUUCCCGCUCCCCACGUGCCGAUCUCACGCAGUGGAUCGCUGUGCCGCAAAUACGCGAGCGCGCGUUUCUGCUGUCUCUCUUGCCGCCUUCCCCCGAUGACAGGCGGAUGGACACAACCCUUCGUGUGUGGCAUCUCAGGGUCCAGUACAUCCCCGCACCGUGCGGUAGGAUGACUAGCAGCCCCGCUAACCCUUGCCAAAUGCCGGCCCACCUCUGGUGGUGGCAAGGGUUAAGCGCGUACGACAGAAGGGAGUCCGGGGCGAUGCAUCGCUGCCGAUGCCCGCGGCCAGGUCCUGGAUGGCACGUCGCCGAAGAGACCUGCGUUCAGCGAACGCGCCUGCGCUAUCCAUGUGGCUGGGCAGGGCGUCGGCGUGACUCGAGCGCACGUCUCACCCCCUGGUUCACACCGUUCGCUGGUGUGGGGGCCUGCGGGGCGGGGGUGGGCAGGUGGCGUUUGAGGCAGGGACCGUGCUCGGCUGCCUGCAUCGGCAGCAUAGCUGCAACGCGCGUGUCUCCGGCUUCUCCGCAUCACGCGAUGUGGGGCCUGUGACAGGCCGGGUAGAGUGUCAUGUGAACUUGUGUUCUAUGGCGGAGUGAAUGCGUUAAGGAAAAAUUCUUGUCGCCGCGCCGCGGCAGCAUUGGCGGCCUCCAGUGUCGAUGUCCUCGGCAUUGGCGCGUGCGCGCGCUUCUCCCCAUCUGCCAUGCUCUGCCACCGUCAUCUCCUCCUUUCCUUUUGUUCAUUUGUGUGAUUCCGGUC